Molecule: ribosomal RNA, 425 nt
Filed under: uncultured eukaryote
Lineage: Eukaryota
Description: bacterial SSU rRNA
Rfam family: Eukaryotic small subunit ribosomal RNA
Source: RNAcentral
CAAUAGCGUAUAUUAAAGUUGUUGCAGUUAAAAAAGCUCGUAGUUGGACUUCUGAUGUGAAAGAUCGGUCCACCGCAAGGUGAGCACUGAUUCUUCGCGUCUUCCUCUCGUAGUUGUUUCGCGCACUUAGUUGGGUGCGAGAUGAAUAUGGGACCUUUUACUUUGAAAAAAUUAAGAGUGUUCAAAGCAGGCAAUCGCUUGAAUACAUUAGCAUGGAAUAAUAGAAUAGGACUUUGGUUCUAUUUUGUUUGGUUUCUAGGACCGAGGUAAUGAUUAAUAGGGAUAUUUGGGGGCAUUCGGUAUUAACCGGUCAGAGGUGGAAUUCUUGGAUUCGGUUACGACGAACUACUAGCGAAAGCAUUUGCCAAGGAUGUUUUCAUUGAUUCAAGACGAAAGUUAGGGGAUCGAAGACGAUUAGAUACCAU